RNAcentral lists this long non-coding RNA (613 nucleotides) under Malus domestica (apple). Its description in RNAcentral is "long non-coding RNA (MDOM_LNC017539)". Lineage: Eukaryota; Viridiplantae; Streptophyta; Magnoliopsida; Rosales; Rosaceae. The record is from RNAcentral.
ACAAAGUUUAGACCCAUAAAUUUUGAAGGUCUAGCUACCAUAUUAUUACCCACAAGGGUAAAGGAACAGUACCACUGCUGGAUAAUUGGAAAGUCCCUGUGUGUCAACCUCUGUGCUUCGUGGCAAGGUAGACUAGCAAACAUGCCCAACCUUUACUCACAUUCGAGAAAACACUCCCAAUAAGAUUGCUUGCUCCAAAAUCGAAGAGGCACCGUCCUCCGAAUCUCGAGAGCCAGACUCCCAACAUGACUACUUUCUUAAAAAUCGAAGAGAGGGUAAAGGAACAGUACCAUUGCUGGAUAAUUGGAAAGUCCCUGUGUGUCAACCUCUGUGCUUCGUAGCAAGGUAGACUAGCAAACAUGCCCAACCUUUACUCACAUUCGAGAAAACACUCCCAACAAGAUUGCUUGCUCCAAAAUCGAAGAGGCACCGCCCUUCGAAUCUCGAGAGCCAGACUCCCAACAUGAUUACUUUCUCAAAAAUCGAAGAGACACUGCUCCCCGAAUCUCCAGAGCCAGACCCCCAGCAUGAUUGCUUUUUCAAAAAUCGAAGAGGCAUCGUUCUCCGAAUCUCGAGAGCCAGAUACCACAGACCACUUUUUCAAAGUGCUCUG